This 479-nucleotide ribosomal RNA is filed under the name uncultured bacterium. RNAcentral describes it as "partial 16S ribosomal RNA". It matches the Rfam family "Bacterial small subunit ribosomal RNA", at positions 28 to 507 of the family's 1533-position model. The record is from RNAcentral.
GAUGAACGCUGGCGGCGUGCUUAACACAUGCAAGUCGAGCGAGAAGUUUUGAAAAGAUUCUUCGGAUGAAAUUUAAAAUGGAAAGCGGCGGACGGGUGAGUAACGCGUAGGCAACCUGCCCCAUACAAAGGGAUAGCAUUUGGAAACGAAUAUUAAUACCUUAUGAAACUUAACUAGUGCAUGCUAGGUAGGUCAAAGAUUUAUCGGUAUGGGAUGGGCCUGCGUCUGAUUAGCUAGUUGGUGAGGUAACGGCUCACCAAGGCGACGAUCAGUAGCCGACCUGAGAGGGUGAACGGCCACAUUGGAACUGAGACACGGUCCAAACUCCUACGGGAGGCAGCAGUGGGGAAUAUUGCACAAUGGGGGAAACCCUGAUGCAGCAACGCCGCGUGAACGAUGAAGGCCUUUGGGUCGUAAAGUUCUGUUCUAGGUGAUGAGAACUGACAGUAACCUAGGAGAAAGCCCCGGCUAACUCCGUG